This 250-nucleotide ribosomal RNA is filed under the name uncultured bacterium. RNAcentral's name for it is "partial 16S ribosomal RNA". It matches the Rfam family "Bacterial small subunit ribosomal RNA", at positions 57 to 305 of the family's 1533-position model. The record is from RNAcentral.
GCAAGUCGAACGGAAACGAUGGGAGCUUGCUCUCAGGCGUCGAGUGGCGGACGGGUGAGUAACGCGUAGGAAUCUACCCAGUUGUGGGGGAUAGCCCGGAGAAAUCCGGAUUAACACCGCAUACGCCCUACGGGGGAAAACAGGGGAUCUUCGGACCUUGUGCAAUUGGAUGAGCCUGCGUUAGAUUAGCUAGUUGGUGGGGUAAGAGCUCACCAAGGCAACGAUCUAUAGCUGGUCUGAGAGGAUGAUC